This 297-nucleotide long non-coding RNA is filed under the name Nicotiana tabacum (common tobacco). RNAcentral describes it as "long non-coding RNA (NTAB_LNC009516)". Lineage: Eukaryota; Viridiplantae; Streptophyta; Magnoliopsida; Solanales; Solanaceae. The record is from RNAcentral.
AAAAAAAGAGGUAAGUUAGUAUCCUCGAACUUUGUCCCCAGUCAGUCAGCAUUAGGGUUUUAAACCCUAAACUGAACUUUUCCUUUAAUCAGCAUUAGGGUUUUAAAACCCUAAACUGAACUUUUCCUUUAAUCAGCAUUAGGGUUUUAAAACCCUAAACAUAACUUUUCCAUUCAGUCAGCAUUAGGGUUUUAAACCCUAAACUGAACUUUUCCAUUCAGUCAGCAUUAGGGUUUUAAACCCUAAACUGAAUUUUUUCUAUCAGGUCAGCAUUAGGGUUUUAAACCCUAAACUGAA